CGGGAAACCGGAGCUAAUACCGGAUAAUAUAUUGAACCGCAUGGUUCAAUAGUGAAAGACGGUUUUACUGUCACUUAUAGAUGGAUCCGCGCCGCAUUAGCUAGUUGGUAAGGUAACGGCUUACCAAGGCAACGAUGCGUAGCCGACCUGAGAGGGUGAUCGGCCACACUGGAACUGAGACACGGUCCAG
Molecule: ribosomal RNA, 190 nt
Filed under: uncultured Staphylococcus sp.
Lineage: Bacteria; Bacillati; Bacillota; Bacilli; Caryophanales; Staphylococcaceae
Description: partial 16S ribosomal RNA
Rfam family: Bacterial small subunit ribosomal RNA
Source: RNAcentral